This 254-nucleotide ribosomal RNA is filed under the name Clostridioides difficile. RNAcentral describes it as "partial 23S ribosomal RNA". It matches the Rfam family "Bacterial large subunit ribosomal RNA", at positions 102 to 357 of the family's 2925-position model. Lineage: Bacteria; Bacillati; Bacillota; Clostridia; Peptostreptococcales; Peptostreptococcaceae. The record is from RNAcentral.
AUCCGAAGAUUUCCGAAUGAGGAAACUCACUUAGAGUAAUGUCUAAGUAUCAUUAAGUGAAUACAUAGCUUAAUGAGGGGAACUCAGGGAACUGAAACAUCUAAGUACCUGAAGGAAGAGAAAGAAACUCGAUUCCGUAAGUAGCGGCGAGCGAACGCGGAAGAGCCCAAACCAAUAAAGUUUUCUUUAUUGGGGUUGCGGACAUAUCAUAACGAAGAGGUAUCGUAAUUGAAGAGGUUUGGAAAGACCCACCA